AUGACAUUAUGUUUGACUAAAAUCUUAAAACUACAUUGUUAACUCUAACUACACAAUUAUGCAAGCAUACUAACCAGUUAAAUAAAGCUGCAUACCAACCUCUUCCAAAUUCUUAGACCACAGAGACUUUUUCCUCAAACUUUUAACAUGUUUGCGUUGGCUUUUCACUUCCUGCUUUAGUAUGUGCAUGUUAUCACCUGCAAAUUAACAGAGCCACAUUCAGCACUGUUAUCAAACGACAACAACAAAACACUGUAAAAUGUAUACUCAUCAAACAGCAUACAGGCUGAAUUGGCAGGUAUCAAUCAGAGGUGCAUACCAAAAGGGUAAAAUACAUUUUGCCAAAAGAAAAAGAGGGGUGAAGAGGCUAAAUGUCAUGGCUGCAUACAGGCUGAAUUGGCAGGUAUCAAUCAGAGGUGCAUACCAAAAGGGUAAAAUACAUUUUGCCAAAAGAAAAAGAGGGGUGAAGAGGCUAAAUGUCAUGGCUAAAGAUAAUAAAGGCAAUCCACUAAAAGGAAUGGAAUAGAAUAGAUUACAUCAGUAGCAUAGGAAGAACUAAAAUUAAGUGGCACAAGUAGUAGCAGUAGCUAUACUCGUGCUUGAAUGCUUGAUGUUCAAAGAUAGAAAUAGGUACUGGAAAUUCAGAGUUAUUUUGCCUUGCCUAGGUACUAUUCUUAUUCACAACUCAGGUUCAUGUUAACAAUAAGCAAAUACAAAUCCAGUCUCUGCUGCUAAGUGUACUUUAAAUCUACAUCAUAUCAGGAAACCUGAAGAACAAUCUUCUAUUACUGGAUUUUCAUUUUGUUCAACCUGAGAAGAACAAAUUUUGAUUAUAUCCCUUCCUUAAAAGAAGUGCCGGACGCAAGAAAAAUUUUUGGCUGAUUUGGACUUGUCAGGUGCAGUUGACUGUCAGAUGAAUCAUCUAGCCCUGGAUAUAUUGGUCAAAGUACACUAGCUGCGGCUCACCUAACGGCAAAUAUGGAGACAGCUGACAGUGAUAGAUGACAACAUAAGAAAGAUACCUUGACCAUGUUUAUACAUGCAUGGAACUGUCCAAGUCAAAUGGACUUCAUCAAUCAAGUGUGUCUCCUAUAAAGUCAGUCACGAGAAGACAUCCAGAAUAUUAUGUUCAAACUAAAGUUCCUAAUGACCUGAAUCCCGAGUGUUCUGUUCAAGAUGAACUUUUCUCAAAUGAUAAAAAAACAAAACAUGAGUAGCACCAACCAGAGGAGGAAAAAGUUGUUUCUUUUUCAAUGUAAUUCUUAAAUGACUCCAUUAUAUUGUCAUGUAAAAGAACUGACCUCUUUGCACAACACUUGAACCAUCCUCUUCAUGCUGUUUACGCUGAUAAUCUUGUUGAAAUCUAUCCAGGGCAUGCAUUUCGUGGUAUAGUUCCUAAAAGUUAGAAAGGUGAUAAAGUUCAUAAAAUUGGAGAAAAGAAAUGCUGAAAAGAACAGAACUGAUAGAUGCCAGGAGAGUGACAGCUAAAUUUGGAUAAAACUAUGCUUAUGGCUUAAAGGCAGACGAAUAUUAAGAUCAUUACUAUUUCACGCAUAUAACUGAUUGAAAGAACAGUUUAGUCAGAGACUCAAGAGUGCGAGCAUAACCUUAGUGACAUACUAACAAUUUGAGACCACUCUCUGACCUCUCUACCUCUUCAUA
Molecule: long non-coding RNA, 1662 nt
Filed under: Sorghum bicolor (sorghum)
Lineage: Eukaryota; Viridiplantae; Streptophyta; Magnoliopsida; Poales; Poaceae
Description: long non-coding RNA (SBIC_LNC005801)
Source: RNAcentral